This 330-nucleotide unclassified non-coding RNA is filed under the name soil metagenome. RNAcentral's name for it is "partial contains 5.8S ribosomal RNA, internal transcribed spacer 2, and large subunit ribosomal RNA". The stretch from base 1 to 120 matches the Rfam family "5.8S ribosomal RNA", at positions 35 to 154 of the family's 154-position model. The record is from RNAcentral.
GAUGAAGAACGCAGCGAAAUGCGAUAAGUAAUGUGAAUUGCAGAAUUCAGUGAAUCAUCGAAUCUUUGAACGCACAUUGCGCCCGCCAGUAUUCUGGCGGGCAUGCCUGUUCGAGCGUCAUUUCAACCAUCAAGCCCCCGGCUUGUGUUGGGGACCUGCGGCUGCCGCAGGCCCUGAAAUGCAGUGGCGGGCUCGCUGUCACUCCGAGCGUAGUAGUUACAUCUCGCUCUGGGCGUGCUGCGGGUUCCGGCCGUUAAAAGCCUUAUUUACCCAAGGUUGACCUCGGAUCAGGUAGGAAGACCCGCUGAACUUAAGCAUAUCAAUAAGCGA